GAUGAACGCUGGCGGCGUGCCUAAUACAUACAAGUCGAGCGAACAGACGAGGAGCUUGCUCCUCUGACGUUAGCGGCGGACGGGUGAGUAACACGUGGAUAACCUACCUAUAAGACUGGGAUAACUUCGGGAAACCGGAGCUAAUACCGGAUCAUAUAUUGAACCGCAUGGUUCAAUAGUGAAAGACGGUUUUGCUGUCACUUAUAGAUGGAUCCGCGCCGCAUUAGCUAGUUGGUAAGGUAACGGCUUACCAAGGCAACGAUGCGUAGCCGACCUGAGAGGGUGAUCGGCCACACUGGAACUGAGACACGGUCCAGACUCCUACGGGAGGCAGCAGUAGGGAAUCUUCCGCAAUGGGCGAAAGCCUGACGGAGCAACGCCGCGUGAGUGAUGGAGGUCUUCGGAUCGUAAAACUCUGUUAUUAGGGAAGAACAAAUGUGUAAGUAACUAUGCACGUCUUGACGGUACCUAAUCAGAAAGCCACGGCUAACUACGUG
Molecule: ribosomal RNA, 497 nt
Filed under: uncultured bacterium
Lineage: Bacteria
Description: partial 16S ribosomal RNA
Rfam family: Bacterial small subunit ribosomal RNA
Source: RNAcentral